UCAAGGAAGUAGAGAAAUAAAUUCCAUCUCUUGAUGGAGGAAUGACAAUGGCAAUGUUCAAAUGCAGAGAAGCAUAUGGUAAAAGAUGUUUCUACAACCAUCUUUGGAACAUAUAAUCUUCUACAAGUAAUGAAGGGAAUGGAAUAAUUGUUUGGGGAAGAGGCAACAUCAUAGGGAAAGCAAUAGUGGAACCAAGUUUUGAAGAAUCAAAAUAUCAAAAGGAGACACUUUGGUCAGAGCAGGAAUCAAGCUUCAGGAGACAAAUCUAGUGAAAAAAAUAAAAUAAAGAAUAAAGAAAGAAGGAAAAAAUCAAAGGAAAAAAGAUAUGAGCUAACAACAGGUAUUCAUGAGAAAAAAACCUUAAUGAUGCAACAGUGGAAUGGAUGGUUGCCAAAACACCCAGACUCAAGUGGCUUUGGAAAAU
Molecule: non-coding RNA, 424 nt
Organism: Microcebus murinus (gray mouse lemur)
Lineage: Eukaryota; Metazoa; Chordata; Mammalia; Primates; Cheirogaleidae
Source: RefSeq, a predicted model, not a curated record